Long non-coding RNA from Taeniopygia guttata (zebra finch), 5028 nucleotides. NCBI's taxonomy places the organism in Eukaryota, Metazoa, Chordata, Aves, Passeriformes, Estrildidae. The record is from Ensembl.
UUUUUUUCUUUUUCCUUCUUUUUUUUUUUUUGGUCCGGGUCCUCUAUGGGGAAAGUCUUAGGCUUGUAGUGUCAGCCUUGCAUAUUUUCACAGCAGUCAGUUCCUUCUGAAUUCACUUUUUCCCUCUUGCAUGCAGAAAUUAAUACAAAAAUUAUUGAGAAAUCAAAUCCAAUUUGAUGGAAUUCUGCAACACUGCCACUGUCACUCUUCUCAAAUACAAUAUAAUCCUUGAUCAGAAGUUACUGAUAAAAAUCUGCUAUUUAUUUUAGGCACCUACUAUGUAUUAGAUGUUUAAAAAUACCUCUCCCUGUAACAGCAAACCUCAUAUUCUCUAUGCAAUGCUGGUACCCUGAUGCUUCCCAGGGCAUUCACAUUCCUGUGGCUAAGUAGACAUUAGCUCUGUCAAAGAUUCACCAGCAGAAUAAAUCCAGUCUGGUUGAUUCAAACUUACAGGAAUAACACCCCUUAAACAAAAAGUUAUUUUACUUCUUUAGAUACCCAGAGUCAUCCACACUUACUAAGAAGACCAGAAAAAGCAUCCAGGCAGCUGUCUUGAAGCAGGAGGUGCCUCAUGAUAGACAUGCUUUCAAGCAUAGGAGCAUUUUAGUGAUUAUGCUUCACAGAUCAUGAGCCAGAAAAAUUUGGACAAUAUUUUACCAUGUACUGUGCAAUACUGACUUGAAUAUCUUUUUUGAAAGGAUAAAAAGGAAAAGGUGUUCCUCACAUGGAUUCUGCAAUCCCUCGCUCAGCAGUUUAUUAUCUUCCAAAUUAAUUCUCAAUAUUUUGCAAAAAAAAAAAAAACUAAUUAAUUUCUUUUACAUAAAGGACACAUACAUGGAAGUGGUCUUCUAUUUAUAGUCCUCCUUUCCAAGUGUUCUAUUAACAUCCCACAUUGUGAAAUGUUUCCAUUGCUCACAAAUAGCCUUGUGCUGCUGUGUUCUCCCCUUUGUCAAGGCCCAUUUAUGAAAUCAGUUUAGGGCUCAUCCAUUUUAGAUUCCUGAGUGACUCUCUGUGAUGAUUUCUUUAUUCCCUCCACCCCACAUACACCAUAAGCCAUUUCUUAUUUCGUUUUAGAAUUUAGUCAACCUUUUUGAUUACUCUUCCUCUCUUUAUAUCGUAAAUAAUCCUCAAUAUUCUGAUUUUUGCCCUAUUUCCUUUAAUCAUUUCAAGUAAAGGUGGCUUUGUACCAUCAAAUCUUUGAGCUACAUCAAUCACUUCUUCUGUCUUGUAUCUUCCUUUAUCAGAUGAAUUAGUUGUGUUGUGCUUAUGAUAUAUUUAAAUCCUUGUCUGUUUUUCUCUCUACUUGUAUUAGUUUUCUUUUUAAACAUUUCUUGCACCCAUUUCUCUGACACUAGUUGCUUAGUUCCUUGAAAUUGAUCAGAAUUGUUAACAGUCUGAUAUUUCCUGUUAUGUGCAACUUACUCACUGUGAAUUCAAGGAUUUACCUCUUCAAAGCCUACACAGAGCUGCUCUUUCCGUUCUCAGACCCCACUGAGCUCUGAACUGCAGCUCUGACAGGGAAAUUCUCCCUUUUUUCAUUCCCUUUCACAAUUUUCCCAGCCAAGGAGAUUAGUGAUGUUCUACUUCCAUGUUAUUGUUCUGAGCAAUUACUCCAAAGAUCUUACUGAUACAGACUUGAAAGAGUGAGGAAAAACAAGAAAUACCCUUUAAUUACCAAGGACAAAAUGAGUACCAGCACUUCAGCUGAGGAUGAAAGGGGCUGUUUCAUGUUCCACCUCAAAUUCCUCAUCCAACAUUGAAGUUUCCACUAAAUUCCGAGGAACUCGGGGCUGAGAAGGGUCUGCCCUGCUUCAGAUCUACUUAAACAUGCUUUGUCUGUCUCCACACAGUGAAAUGUGUGCCCUGUGCUUCCAGGGAUUUCUCAGGAAUGUGCUAUCAUGUCUUAUCAACACACAGUGCUUACCAAGUGUUGAUGCAAAAAGCCCAUAGGAACAUGUGCAAACCCACUUCAGAAGAAGAAAUCAUGAGGAAGACCUGAGGACACUGGGAGUAAAAUUUGGUUAUUUGAAACACUUUUGUAAUGCUGAACACAUCCCAGUAACCAGCAAAAUCCCCCAUGCACUUUUAAAGGGACAAAAGAGCAUAAAGCUAAUGUAAUGCAUAUUCGGAAGAAGUCUCUUCCAGAAGGCUGAGAAAGUCAGAAAACACUGUCAGGUGCAUUGGAUACCUUCAGUUCAGCUUGUCAGAAAUACACCACAUCGGGAUGGCAAGAGCGGGAAGAAAGGAAGAGAAACAGGCAAGGAUGACACAGUAAUAUUUUGAGGUCAAAGCAGGCAAUUGCAAUUCCAUUCCAUAAUGCCAUUAAUUUCUGAGCAGUGAUUGCCAAAGGAAUCUCACCAGGUCUAAAAAAAAAAAAAAAAAAAAGUCCAUCUACCUUUAAGACCUUGCUGGUUCUGAAACUGACAAACAGAUAUUGCCAACACCUUCACACUGGCUGGAGCCUUUCCCAGCUGCAUCCAUGAACAGAUCAUCACAGGCAGCCCAACUCCCUAAAAAGACCUUUGAAAAUAUUUCCUAUUCAUGUUCAGACUUUUUUUCCUAAACAUAAUAGCAACCUCUCCUGUCCCACCAAAAUUCAAAGCACGGAAAAACCAAAAGCAAAAUAUAUUCCUCUACUCUUCUCCUGCAGACCAGCACAGGCUAUUCUUAACAUCAGGUCAACAGCAACACAACAAGGAGAAAACUUUUCAAUAUUAAUUUGUAAAGUUAGUCCAAUUAAAGGUAACACCCUCAAUGUGCCUUAUGCUGCAUUUCCCAAACAUUUUAAAACAUUCAGUACAAAAUGCUGAUCAUGAAAGAAACUGAAAGCUAGCUCCUAAACUCUGCCAGGAGGAAAAGCUGUCCCUAGGGAAGUAGCCAGCAAUCAGACAUGAGAUCCAGCAAGUUACCCCAACUCUGUCCUAUUCCAAGGGCUUCCCUUAAUCCACUUGUUUAGAUACAGCUUGAUAUUAUUUUCCCAGAUCUCACUACAACAUUGCAGAGAGCAGUCUGUAAGUUCUGAACUGAGAAUAAAGAAUGGGCUGCGAAAUAGUCCGUUCUAAUCCUGGCUACAUCAAAAAAAUCUCUACUAACAACAAGGCGUCUUUGCUUGCAGGGAGGGGCAGACAAAGAUGACAGGAAAAACAAGGCUGAUGAACGAUCAAGGAACUACCAAAAAAGGAAAGUUCAAAGCUUGUCUCCUCCCCUCAACUUUUUAGGCAUAGUUUGGAAACAUCUAAACUUUCACAGGAAAGACAGGGCAGGUGCCAAUACCUGGUCAGAGACCCACCUGUGCUAAGAAACGCCCUCCAUGUCCAAUGGACUCCUAAUUAUGUGUUGUCCCCAGAUUAUCAAAUUAAUUUCUCACUCUUGAAGUUCUGUCCAGAGCUAUCUUCCAUCUCUCCAGUCUGAGGAACCAGCUUAAUAUUGUGUCUUCCUGAAUAAUUUGAGUUGGAAUCAAAUUUGGCAGAGCAGCAGUGGAUGACACCAAAAUAUGAGUGCAGUAUUACCUGUGCACACUAUUUCUUGAAGCUACCAUUUCAUAGGGUUAUUUCUCACCAUCUGACUCUCAGGCCCCAGGAAGUUUGGCAUAAAAAUGUAUUUACGAUAUUUGCUUUUACAACAAGCUUCGUAAAUUCUCCUAGAUCUUGUUAAAAAGUAUUUAAUUUGCUUUUUGUAAAGGAACUGUCCUCUGUUAGUUCUUUCAUUAGAAUAAGCAUAAACAACAGUUUCACAUUCCUCAUGUGCCACGACCUGCUCUCUCCCUGUGGCACUGAAACGGGCAUGGGCACCUCUGCCCACACUCAGUGUUAUUGGGUGGAGUGUGUGAACAGAUUCCAGUUCCACUCUGCAAAAACCUCUGAUAAAAACUUGCAACUCUGAGGAUGAGAAGAAAACAAGAUAAAAAUACUCACACACAAAAUAAACAGCAUGUGUAAUUAUUUGCAAGGCUGCUACUGCUUUGAACUAUCCUGAUUUUGAGGGCUGCUAUUGUGAUAAACCUUUGUUAUAGUCCUCUGGAAAGCGACAACAGGCUCUCAUGACUGCAUGUUUUCAUGCAUCCAGCAUGGAAACUGAUGUUGAUGCUUGGCAUCCAAGCAGGUCCACCAACCCAGACUGGUGGCUAGUAAUCCUCAAUUUCUGAAACAGUGAUUUAGCUCCCAGCAGCAUCGUUUGACAAUUAUUUCCUCUUCCUCUUUAAUAUAUCAUUUUUUUGGCAUUUGUUUAAAUUCUAGGCAGCAAGAAUGAGAAAUCAUAUAAUCUUCCUGAAGAGCCUCACAUACUGAGCACCGCUAAAUAUUUGGCAAGAUAAAUGACAGAGCAGCUCUAAAGGAAUCAUGUAUUCUAGAAAUAAAAGAAGAUACAUCUGUUGUCUCUUUUGUCAAUGUGAAAGGUGAGCCACAUAAAACAUGGGAUAGCAAAAUACUGAGAAAUGACAGAAGACACGGCCAUGUCAAUUCAGGUGUUAGGUUAUCCCAUGUCCUUUCAUUUCUGAGGAUCUGACAUGCUUCGUUUUUCAGAAAGAUGUGCAGGAGACCAAAGUAAAGGUUAUUAGAUCUUGCUGGUCUGAAAUCUAGAGGGGAAAAAAGAUAACUUCUUAGCUUUGCACACGGGUGUUGUUUGGUUUACUCUGUCGGGGACUCAGACAUAACCUGGGUGGCUCGGACACCUGUCAGUGUCCAUCAGAACACUCAGCCUUUGCAGCCAAGUUUAUAGAGGUGUUCCACAGCACCACUUUUCACCCUCUGGCCACUGAAAAGGCCAUGACUUUCAGGUCACACCCUCCAUGGGACUACACUCAAAAAGUGCUGCACAGGACCCCAAAGAGGCUUAACAAAGUGAUGGAUCAGGAGAGCCAGAACCUGAAAUUUUAUGUCCCAGAAGCAGCAUGAACAUCUGGUUGAAGUCUUUCAUUAGCAGUGAUCAAGUAGGGACACCUCCCUCACUGCUGAAAUGGUGCUGCACACCAGAGUAUCCCAUUAGCCCUCCCAGGUGGGAAAAAAGUACUUUUUUUCCUCAAUAAAAGAA